Amphiprion ocellaris (clown anemonefish) is the source of this 517-nucleotide long non-coding RNA. NCBI's taxonomy places the organism in Eukaryota, Metazoa, Chordata, Actinopteri, Pomacentridae. The record is from Ensembl.
ACAACCUUGUAAGAGAAUGUCUGUCAGUGCUUUCAGCAGAAUUUAGAAACACAACACUUCCUAAACAGAUAUUUUGAGGCUGUGAGGCUGAACGUUUGAGAGUAUAUAUGAAAUAGAAACACACAAGUAUCUGAUUGAAGGAACUUCUGUAGAGUCCUGGUUCCAGAAGAUGAUGAUAGAAUUAUAGACAAACUUUAACAAAAGCUGCCUGAGAGUUUACAGGUUUUUAAUGUUAGAUUUAUUCAGUAAUUUAAUGAGUUAUCAGCAAAAAUCGUGUUCAUUUGAUGAACUUCAUUUCCUAAAACAUCCAGAAUUGGAGCUCAUAUCUUUGGCAGCUGUAAAGUUUCUGCUCCUUCAAAGUUCACAACACAAUGAAUUAAUUCCUAAAACACUCUCAAUGCUGGAGAGCGUUUGUGAUGCUGAAGCAUGAUCAGUUUUUCUGUUUCUUCUCUGGAGAUGCACAAUGAGGGACGUCUGCAGCGACUGAGAAAGAGUCUCACCACAUCCUGACAUGAGG